CAGUAGCCACGGUAAUACGUAGGUGGCAAGCGUUGUCCGGAAUUAUUGGGCGUAAAGGGCUCGCAGGCGGUUUCUUAAGUCUGAUGUGAAAGCCCCCGGCUCAACCGGGGAGGGUCAUUGGAAACUGGGAAACUUGAGUGCAGAAGAGGAGAGUGGAAUUCCACGUGUAGCGGUGAAAUGCGUAGAGAUGUGGAGGAACACCAGUGGCGAAGGCGGCUCUCUGGUCUGUAACUGACGCUGAGGAGCGAAAGCGUGGGGAGCGAACAGGAUUAGAUACCCCCGUAGUCCCUGUCUCUUAUAC
RNAcentral lists this ribosomal RNA (301 nucleotides) under uncultured bacterium. RNAcentral's name for it is "partial 16S ribosomal RNA". It matches the Rfam family "Bacterial small subunit ribosomal RNA", at positions 509 to 807 of the family's 1533-position model. The record is from RNAcentral.